Mercenaria mercenaria is the source of this 1172-nucleotide long non-coding RNA. RefSeq lists it as uncharacterized. The record is from RefSeq and is a predicted model, not a curated record. NCBI's taxonomy places the organism in Eukaryota, Metazoa, Mollusca, Bivalvia, Venerida, Veneridae. The transcript is spliced from 2 exons.
GGUUGGCCGCAGCAGGGGUUAAUGGCUGGUGGGAACGCGCGCGACCGUCUUUUAAUUAUGUACGUACGUACUCGCGUCCGGUAGUUCUUCAUCUUUCUGCCCUGAGCACUAAAUUUAGGUCUAAACUCAAAUCUUAAGCUAAACUAAAAUUAGGUGUCAACUCAGCCUUCUGCACUAAGCACUAAAGUUAGGUAUAAACUCAAAUCCUCACCUAAACUUAAAUUUAAGGUAUAAACUCAAGUCUAAAAUUAGGUGUAAACUCAAAUCUAAAAGUAAACCUUAAGUAAGGUCUCAACUCAAAUGUAAAACUUAAACUUUAAGUGAGGUAUAAAGUUUCUCAUCUUUCUGCACUAAGCACUAAAGUUAGGUAUAAACGCUUCGGUUGGCCGCAGCAGGGGUUAAUGGCUGGUGGGAACGCGCGCGACCGUCUUUUAAUUAUGUACGUACGUACUCGCGUCCGGUAGUUCUUCAUCUUUCUGCCCUGAGCACUAAAUUUAGGUCUAAACUCAAAUCUGAAGCUAAACUAAAAUUAGGUGUCAACUCAGCCUUCUGCACUAAGCACUAAAGUUAGGUAUAAACUCAAAUCCUCACCUAAACUUAAAUUUAAGGUAUAAACUCAAAUCUAAAAUUAGGUCUAAACUCAAAUCUAAAAGUAAACCUUAAGUAAGGUCUCAACUCAAAUGUAAAACUUAAACUUUAAGUGAGGUAUAAAGUUUCUCAUCUUUCUGCACUAAGCACUAAAGUUAGGUAUAAACGCUUCGGUUGGCCGCAGCAGGGGUUAAUGGCUGGUGGGAACGCGCGCGACCGUCUUACGUACGUACGUACUCGCGUUAGGUAGCUCUUCAUCUUUCUGCCCUGAGCACUAAAUUUAGGUCUAAACUCAAAUCUUAAGCUAAACUAAAAUUAGGUGUCAACUCAGCCUUCUGCACUAAGCACUAAAGUUAGGUAUAAACUCAAAUCCUCACCUAAACUUAAAUUUAAGGUAUAAACUCAAAUCUAAAAUUAGGUCUAAACUCAAAUCUAAAAGUAAACCUUAAGUAAGGUCUCAACUCAAAUGUAAAACUUAAACUUUAAGUGAGGUAUAAAGUUUCUCAUCUUUCUGCACUAAGCACUAAAGUUAGGUAUAAACGCUUCGGUUGGCCGCAGCAGGGGUUAAUGGCUGGUGGGAACGC